CCUUAUGGACGGCCAUAAGGCGAGCCGAAUUUCGGCGGGACGACCCGC
Molecule: non-coding RNA, 48 nt
Organism: Kluyvera intermedia
Lineage: Bacteria; Pseudomonadati; Pseudomonadota; Gammaproteobacteria; Enterobacterales; Enterobacteriaceae
Source: Rfam